RNAcentral lists this ribosomal RNA (538 nucleotides) under uncultured bacterium. RNAcentral's name for it is "bacterial SSU rRNA". It matches the Rfam family "Bacterial small subunit ribosomal RNA", at positions 838 to 1376 of the family's 1533-position model. The record is from RNAcentral.
GAUCCGUGCCGUAGCUAACGCAUUAAGUACCCCGCCUGGGGAGUACGGCCGCAAGGCUAAAACUCAAAGAAAUUGACGGGGGCCCGCACAAGCGGCGGAGCAUGUGGAUUAAUUCGAUGCAACGCGAAGAACCAUACCUGGGUUUGACAUGCACAGGACGCCGGCAGAGAUGUCGGUUCCCUUGUGGCCUGUGUGCAGGUGGUGCAUGGCUGUCGUCAGCUCGUGUCGUGAGAUGUUGGGUUAAGUCCCGCAACGAGCGCAACCCUUGUCUCAUGUUGCCAGCGGGUAAUGCCGGGGACUCGUGAGAGACUGCCGGGGUCAACUCGGAGGAAGGUGGGGAUGACGUCAAGUCAUCAUGCCCCUUAUGUCCAGGGCUUCACACAUGCUACAAUGGCCGGUACAAAGGGCUGCGAUGCCGCGAGGUUAAGCGAAUCCUUUUAAAGCCGGUCUCAGUUCGGAUCGGGGUCUGCAACUCGACCCCGUGAAGUCGGAGUCGCUAGUAAUCGCAGAUCAGCAACGCUGCGGUGAUACGUUCCCG